Molecule: transfer RNA, 62 nt
Filed under: Diceroprocta semicincta
Lineage: Eukaryota; Metazoa; Arthropoda; Insecta; Hemiptera; Cicadidae
Description: tRNA-Asp
Source: RNAcentral
GAAGAAUUAGUUUAAUAAAACAUUAAUCUGUCAGAUUAAAGUUAUCAUUUGGAUAUUCUUUU